UUAGUGGCGGACGGGUGAGUAACGCGUGAGCAAUCUGCCUUUCAGAGGGGGAUAACACUCUGAAAAGAGUGCUAAUACCGCAUAACGUGUUUGAGUGGCAUCACUUAGACACCAAAGGAGCAAUCCGCUGAAAGAUGAGCUCGCGUCCAAUUAGGUAGUUGGUGAGGUAACGGCCCACCAAGCCGACGAUUGGUAGCCGGACUGAGAGGUUGAACGGCCACAUUGGGACUGAGAUACGGCCCAGACUCCUACGGGAGGCAGCAGUCGGGAAUAUUGCGCAAUGGAGGAAACUCUGACGCAGUGACGCCGCGUAUAGGAAGAAGGUUUUCGGAUUGUAAACUAUUGUCAUUAGGGAAGAUAAAAGACUGUACCUAAAGAGGAAGCACCGGCUAACUAUGUGCCAGCAGCCGCGGUAAUACAUAGGGUGCAAGCGUUAUCCGGAUUUAUUGGGUGUAAAGGGUGCGUAGACGGAGAAGCAAGUUAGUUGUGAAAUCCCUCGGCUUAACUGAGGAACUGCAACUAAAACUACUUCCCUUGAGUGUCGGAGAGGAAAGUGGAAUUCCUAGUGUAGCGGUGAAAUGCGUAGAGAUUAGGAGGAACACCAGUGGCGAAGGCGACUAUCUGGACAGUAACUGACGCUGAGGCGCGAAAGUGUGGGGAGCAAACAGGAUUAGAUACCCUGGUAGUCCACACCGUAAACGAUGGAUACUAGGUGUCGGGGGUAUCGAGCCCCUCGGUGCCGCAGUUAACACAAUAAGUAUCCCACCUGGGGAGUACGAUCGCAAGGUUGAAACUCAAAGGAAUUGACGGGGACCCGCACAAGCAGUGGAGUAUGUGGUUUAAUUCGAAGCAACGCGAAGAACCUUACCAGGGCUUGACAUCCGAAGAAUCCUGUAGAGAUACGGGAGUGCCUUCGGGAACUUCAAGACAGGUGGUGCAUGGUUGUCGUCAGCUCGUGUCGUGAGAUGUUGGGUUAAGUCCCGCAACGAGCGCAACCCUUGCCUUUAGUUGCCAGCAUUAAGUUGGGCACUCUAGAGGGACUGCCAGGGAUAACCUGGAGGAAGGUGGGGAUGACGUCAAAUCAUCAUGCCCCUUAUGCUUAGGGCUACACACGUGCUACAAUGGGUGGUACAGAGGGCAGCCAAGUCGUGAGGCGGAGCUAAUCCCUUAAAGCCAUUCUCAGUUCGGAUUGUAGGCUGAAACUCGCCUACAUGAAGCUGGAGUUACUAGUAAUCGCAGAUCAGAAUGCUGCGGUGAAUGCGAUCCCGGGUCUUGUACACACCGCCCGUCA
RNAcentral lists this ribosomal RNA (1291 nucleotides) under uncultured bacterium. Its description in RNAcentral is "bacterial SSU rRNA". It matches the Rfam family "Bacterial small subunit ribosomal RNA", at positions 92 to 1399 of the family's 1533-position model. The record is from RNAcentral.